Long non-coding RNA from Gallus gallus (chicken), 334 nucleotides. The record is from Ensembl. NCBI's taxonomy places the organism in Eukaryota, Metazoa, Chordata, Aves, Galliformes, Phasianidae.
CUCAUCCGCACACAGGCAGUGCAAAAUGUUGGACUGGCUCGUGUCCCAUCUAAGGGAAAUAUUGCUCCAUUUCCGUGCUGUGGGUACAGAGCCAACGCUACAAGAAAUGACCUUAUUUACCACUCUUCUGAGCUUUACGUUUGUCAUUGCUGCCCAUGCUUCCUUCCUCUGAGAAACUCAGGAGACUGUUGUUGUUAUUUGCCUCCAAGCAAACAAGCAGCUGGAAAUGGCACAGGAUGGAUGCAGACAACCCAAAGCCCUGAGCGCCUUUGUGUCAAGCCAAGUUCAAGGUCCUUCCAGACAGUGGGAAGCAUCCCCUGGAACCAACGCAAAC